GAGGGUAUAGCUCAGUGGUAGAGCGCAUGCUUAACAUGCACAAGGUCCUGGGUUCAAUCCCGAGUUCCUCG
Molecule: transfer RNA, 71 nt
Filed under: Camelus bactrianus (Bactrian camel)
Lineage: Eukaryota; Metazoa; Chordata; Mammalia; Artiodactyla; Camelidae
Also listed under: 2 other names
Rfam family: tRNA
About the family: Transfer RNA (tRNA) molecules are approximately 80 nucleotides in length. Their secondary structure includes four short double-helical elements and three loops (D, anti-codon, and T loops).
Source: Rfam by way of RNAcentral